CUCGGUAUGCGCAUCGCCACCACCCUCGCUGCAGAGGCCGCCGCCCUCCCAGCGCGCCAUCACCGCCUCCUCUGCCUCUUCCCCUCCCUCAGCCCCGGCCCCUGCAUUGACUUGGCUCGGGCUGCGCCUCACUGCGCCUGCCAACUGUCACACGCUCUGAGGCUUUCAACAGCGGGGCGCCAGGGACAAACAAGCCGCGGCAAGCGCAAACAGCCUGCUCAAACAGGGACGGCCAGGGUGUUGUUUGACCAGCACUGGAAUUGGAAACUAGGUUUCGAAGAAGUCAAAUCGAAGUACAAUAUUGUAUUUUAAACUGCCUGUUGUUAUUACAUCCCUCACAACGCACGCUCUACUUGAAACUUCCAGUGGAUACCAACUGCACUUAGAAUAAAAAAUGAAACUCCUUGCCUAACUCUGGGACCUCAUCAGCACAUACUCACCAUAUUUUGGUAACAAAGGCCUUCAUGCUGUUCCCGGAAGUCGCCAAGUUCCAUCCAUCAUUGUUAAUAAUUCCUUUUGCUCGCUCCUCGCACAAGAACUGUUUCUUCUGCUUAGUGCUUUGCCUACUGAUUCCAUCUUGUCAUUUAAGUCUCGGCUCAAAUGUCACCUCUGCAAAGAACCCUUGUCUGACCAUACAUCUAAAAUAGCCACAAACACUCUAUAAAGACUUGGCCUUGCUUUAUUUCCUUCUCAGCACUCAUCACUGUCUGAAACAAUGUUUUGGAUUUGUUGCUUAUUAUCAGUCUCCCUUCUCAAGAAUGCAAGCUUUGUGAGGGCAGAGUCGUAAUCUUUUUUAAGGCUGUAUCCCCAAUGCCUGGAUUGCCCAACACUUGCUUCAUGCUUCAAGCACAUCAGGGUGCUUUCCACUUCUGGAUGAGCCAAGUGUUUCCUCAGCUUUUCUGCACCUUCCUCUCCAUUGACCUAGAGUGUCUAUGGAACACUCAGAGUGUCCCCUGUGUAAACCACCUACCACAAGAUUAUCAACUUCAGGCAAUGGACCACGCACCAGGAUUCCACCUCUUUCUAGCACCUAUCAGUGUUGCGCACAUCAUAGGCCCUCAACAAACAGGAAGCAGGCAGCCACGCUGGGGGAUCCCACAUGGUAAAGAACUGCAGGUGGCCUCUAGGAGAUGAGGGCGGCCUCCAGUCAACAGCCAGCAAGAAACUGAAGUGCUCUGUCCUACAACCUUGUGUAACUGAAUUCUGCCAACAACCUGAGUGAGACUGAAAGUGGAUCCCUCUCCAGUCAUGCCUCAGGUGAGACUGUAUCCCUGGAUGACACCUUGAUUCAGCCUCAUGUGACCCUAAGGAGACGACCCAUAUAAACUGUGCCUGGACUCAAGGCCCUCAGAAACUGUGAGAUAAUAAACA
Molecule: long non-coding RNA, 1371 nt
Organism: Homo sapiens (human)
Lineage: Eukaryota; Metazoa; Chordata; Mammalia; Primates; Hominidae
Source: Ensembl